AAAAAAUAAUUCUGUUUCGCGUAGAGAAAAAAUAGAGAGAGAAAGACGAAAACGAGAGGAAGAUCGAUGAGCCGUGAAGUUGGAACGUCGAGCUCUCUCGACGGUCGAGGAAAGUCUAGUUUCGUAGGACGAUGAUCGAGGAUACGCGGACUCGUGGGGCGUGCGGGACCCCUUGGGAAUCGGGCUAAUCCACGGAACGAGAUUGAUUUAAGAGUUUCGAUUUGCGAAUAACUGCGCUUCGAG
Apis dorsata (giant honeybee) is the source of this 243-nucleotide long non-coding RNA. RefSeq lists it as uncharacterized. The record is from RefSeq and is a predicted model, not a curated record. The transcript is spliced from 2 exons. NCBI's taxonomy places the organism in Eukaryota, Metazoa, Arthropoda, Insecta, Hymenoptera, Apidae.